UACGUAGGGUGCGAGCGUUAAUCGGAAUUACUGGGCGUAAAGCGUGCGCAGGCGGUUUUGUAAGCCAGAUGUGAAAUCCCCGGGCUUAACCUGGGAAUGGCAUUUGGGACUGCAAGGCUUGAGUACGGCAGAGGAGACUGGAAUUCCUGGUGUAGCAGUGAAAUGCGUAGAUAUCAGGAGGAACACCGAUGGCGAAGGCAGGUCUCUGGGCUGACACUGACGCUCAUGCACGAAAGCGUGGGGAGCAAACAGG
RNAcentral lists this ribosomal RNA (253 nucleotides) under uncultured bacterium. Its description in RNAcentral is "partial 16S ribosomal RNA". It matches the Rfam family "Bacterial small subunit ribosomal RNA", at positions 524 to 776 of the family's 1533-position model. The record is from RNAcentral.